RNAcentral lists this transfer RNA (96 nucleotides) under Salinibacterium xinjiangense. RNAcentral's name for it is "tRNA-Sec". Lineage: Bacteria; Bacillati; Actinomycetota; Actinomycetes; Micrococcales; Microbacteriaceae. The record is from RNAcentral.
CCGUCUCUCGGCAACUCCGUGAGCCAGGCCUCCGUCACCGAGGCGCAGGAUGAGGCGAAGCGGCUGGCGGCGGGGGUCGCCGACGCGGAGGUGGCC